Molecule: long non-coding RNA, 856 nt
Organism: Schistocerca americana (American grasshopper)
Lineage: Eukaryota; Metazoa; Arthropoda; Insecta; Orthoptera; Acrididae
Exons: 7
Source: RefSeq, a predicted model, not a curated record
CCAGAAUGGCUGGAGAUCUUUAUGCGAUUUUUACACUCUGUGUCAAAAUCUAAAUUACUCUGCGACCAAGCCACCCCAAAUCUGUGUUUGUCUGUCAGCUGUAAUGGAUCCACUUGUGUGUGCAGACCAGACCAUGUAUUCUGCAGAGCAGGCUGGAAGCCGUACAUCCAGGAUGUACUGCUGAGGGCUUGAUGGAAGUCAGUGCAAGAGAGACACAAAAAUAUUUCCUGAAUCCAGAGGCGCCAAUUUUCGUGAGUGCACUCAGCGAGACAGGUCCACAUCCUGUGGACCUUUAUCCCGUGUCCAACUUAAAUCCAUGGGCACCGGUGUUCCACGGUUAAAAUGUGGCAUCUGUCGGUGUAAAAAGGAUUUUGGAUUCUCCACCCACACUGAAGCAGAGAGGAUGUGGCUGAAUCUAUACAUCAUGAGGGAUUUUUGCCACCUUAUCUAAUGCACAUGUGAAAGGGAAGUACUGACGAAGGAUGUUAAUCCUGAACACAUACGUGACAGUGCAAGCUAUUGACAUGUCUGGUUCUUGCCCCAAUGACCCAGUGUCAAAAACUCCAUUCCCUGUGCUACCCUGAAUUGGAUACAUGGAGAGCUCUCAAUCUUGCAUCGUGUAAUGGAGUAAUUUUCCAACAAUGUAGUGGUACGAAAAUCGUAUUUUUGGCCAAUACUGUACAUUCCUGGCUAAUGCACCAAUGCCUUCAUGGAAAGGGAAGUAUUAAAUUUGAGAGGCAAGUGCUACUAAGGUCUGAAUACAUUACGUUUACAACAGGUUGCAAAGAUAGGUAUCAAGAGACAGUUUGAAAGAUCUUUCAGAUGAUGUUAGCAAAUUCGUAAUUAAGAUAUGGUA